RNAcentral lists this ribosomal RNA (663 nucleotides) under Triticum aestivum (bread wheat). RNAcentral's name for it is "partial small subunit ribosomal RNA". Lineage: Eukaryota; Viridiplantae; Streptophyta; Magnoliopsida; Poales; Poaceae. The record is from RNAcentral.
AUGGAAAUACUUCACCUUGAGGAGAUCCCAGAAAAAGAUAUUGUGAAACGGUGGACGAAGGACGCAAGGGACAUUCUUCCUAGCCAUCUGCAGCAGUACCAAAAGGACAAAUGGAGCAACACAUCAUUCACAUGGAGGCAUUCAACACUGUACUUGAAAGCUAUGGAAGUCGUUCGCAUGGGGGAUGCUAAUGCAGAAUCAUUUGACUUCAUGCUAGGUGGGCUGGAUGAUCUGCUGGUGCGUGGAGCACCUAUUGCAGAAAAGAGGGAUGGAAUGGGUUUUGAGGAUCGCAUCACGACAUUGGACCCUCUGAGACACACUAGAAAUGGAGAGGUUGCUUUCGUGGUCGGGACAGUUGCCGAUAAAGAGAAUAGCAUGGCACAUUCGGUGAGCGUGAAUGACUUGCAAGGGCUAGCUCCACCCGGUAAGCAAAGGGGGGUCGGAAGGCCAACAAAUAGCAGGGAGAAGGCACCGUACAAAGGACUGAGUAGACGUACACGCUUCUGCAGCAUUUGCAGGAGGGAAGGACACAAGAGAACUACAUGUCUUGAUAGAGGGGAUGCACCGAAAAAGCCGAGGAAACCUGGUCAAUGCAAGAACUACGGAAUCGAAGGUCACCGCCGCAACACGUGGACUAGGCCAUUGGGCUUUGGUGCAAACUAG